Molecule: long non-coding RNA, 219 nt
Organism: Phyllostomus hastatus (greater spear-nosed bat)
Lineage: Eukaryota; Metazoa; Chordata; Mammalia; Chiroptera; Phyllostomidae
Exons: 3
Source: RefSeq, a predicted model, not a curated record
GGCUGGUAUUUAUGUCACUUGCAGAUGGUUUGGGUAAAUUACACGAUGUUCCUGCAGCCCUGUUGAGGCUUUCUCCGCUCCCUUUGAUCCAUGGACUUCCUGUGGCUCCUGCACAUGUGCAGAACUUCAGGGCACUGGUGUCUCCAGCCCCUCUUCCAGUGAUGCAUGUGAAGGCUGGGUCACAGGCCACACCCAGGAGACUGCCAAUGGAGAGCCAUG